AACCUGCGGAGGGAUCAUUACAGAGUUGCAAAACUCCCUAAACCAUUGUGAACGUUACCUUCAAACCGUUGCUUCGGCGGGCGGCCCGGGUCCGCCCGGUGCCCCCUGGCCCCCUAGCGGGGCGCCCGCCGGAGGAAAACCCAACUCUUGAUUAUUAUGGCCUCUCUGAGUCUUCUGUACUGAAUAAGUCAAAACUUUCAACAACGGAUCUCUUGGUUCUGGCAUCGAUGAAGAACGCAGCGAAAUGCGAUAAGUAAUGUGAAUUGCAGAAUUCAGUGAAUCAUCGAAUCUUUGAACGCACAUUGCGCCCGCCAGUAUUCUGGCGGGCAUGCCUGUUCGAGCGUCAUUUCAACCAUCAAGCCCCGCGCUUGUGUUGGGGACCUGCGGCUGCCGCAGGCCCUGAAAACCAGUGGCGGGCUCGCUGUCACACCGGGCGUAGUAGAUUUUAUCUCGCUCAGGGCGUGCUGCGGGUUCCGGCCGUUAAAAAGCCUUUUUUACCCAAGGUUGACCUCGGAUCAGGUAGGAAUACCCGCUGAACUUAAGCAUAUCAAUAAG
This 555-nucleotide ribosomal RNA is filed under the name Pezizomycotina sp. 7R127-1. RNAcentral describes it as "eukaryotic LSU rRNA". The stretch from base 193 to 346 matches the Rfam family "5.8S ribosomal RNA". The record is from RNAcentral. Lineage: Eukaryota; Fungi; Ascomycota.